This 74-nucleotide transfer RNA is filed under the name Candidatus Woesearchaeota archaeon. RNAcentral's name for it is "tRNA-Ile". It matches the Rfam family "tRNA". From Rfam's summary of the family: Transfer RNA (tRNA) molecules are approximately 80 nucleotides in length. Their secondary structure includes four short double-helical elements and three loops (D, anti-codon, and T loops). Further hydrogen bonds mediate the characteristic L-shaped molecular structure. tRNAs have two regions of fundamental functional importance: the anti-codon, which is responsible for specific mRNA codon recognition, and the 3' end, to which the tRNAs corresponding amino acid is attached (by aminoacyl-tRNA synthetases). tRNAs cope with the degeneracy of the genetic code in two manners: having more than one tRNA (with a specific anti-codon) for a particular amino acid; and 'wobble' base-pairing, i.e. permitting non-standard base-pairing at the 3rd anti-codon position. The record is from RNAcentral. Lineage: Archaea; Nanobdellati; Candidatus Woesearchaeota.
GAGCCCGUAGCUUAGCCUGGUGGAGCACCGGUCUUAUACACCGGCGGUCGGGAGUUCAAAUCUCCUCGGGCUCA